CCCAGCUGCAUAGACCUUCCAUACGGCUCCGUUCUGCCUCGAUGAACACUGUGGCUUGCUGAGAGCUUGAAACAGUUCUGCAGAAAAUUGUAAAGAUCCUGAGACAUUUCACUGUUAAGAUCUAAUAUCAAGGUAGUCACAGGAAGAUACACUUUACUUUCCACUGAUUGGAUGGGAGGAAUUUUUGACCUUGGAAAGUGGAGAUGGUGUUGCUAUGGAAACUAAUAAGUCUGCUGCCAUUCAUGAGCUGCAGCACAGAAGCUGAAACUUGAAAGGAGCCCUGUGUCUCUGGAGCUCUGUACAUCAAUGUCUGAAGGGAGAAAACACAUGAAAGUUGAAGGCC
RNAcentral lists this long non-coding RNA (343 nucleotides) under Bubo bubo (Eurasian eagle-owl). RNAcentral's name for it is "lncRNA (ENSBOBG00000009824.1)". The record is from RNAcentral. Lineage: Eukaryota; Metazoa; Chordata; Aves; Strigiformes; Strigidae.